GGCCGACGUAGGAGCGGGGUCUGGACCUCGGUCCCGCCUCUGAACAUUUCCUGCCUUUUCAGCCCAAAGAAACAAUAUGCAUUCGUUCACUAAAGCAAUAUUGUUUUUUAACAUCUGUGAUGUGCUCACAAGAAUGGUAGUGUGCACUACAUCUCAGGAACUGUGCUGGGAAUGUCACAUAAAUUAUACCUGUUUACCCCUGAAACAAAGGAAGAUCACUUUUCUGUCUGGCUUUGGAGACAUUUGUAGAUGUGGUUGGAAUGUUUUCCCUAAUACAAUAUCCUCUCAAAUAAAACCUCU
Molecule: long non-coding RNA, 300 nt
Organism: Leptonychotes weddellii (Weddell seal)
Lineage: Eukaryota; Metazoa; Chordata; Mammalia; Carnivora; Phocidae
Source: RefSeq, a predicted model, not a curated record